Non-coding RNA from Rattus norvegicus (Norway rat), 567 nucleotides. The record is from RefSeq and is a predicted model, not a curated record. Lineage: Eukaryota; Metazoa; Chordata; Mammalia; Rodentia; Muridae.
UCUGGGAAACCAAUAGUGGGCCUGGCCAGAGUACGUCACGGUGGCCAAUAUUAAAUUGAAGCUUGCUUCAAGUUUGGCUCAAAAUUGUGAAAUUGGUCUUUCUCCCGUGCUUUUUGGGAUUAACACUAUCUCUGCCUCUCGAACUCUGGGGUCACAGGGAUGCACCAAAACACCCAGGUUUUCUUGUGGGAGCAGGAAGUAAAUCAGUUGUCUGUAAAUGAGAGCUGAGGACCGAACCCAGGGCCUUGCGCUUGCUAGGCAAGCGCUCUACCACUGAGCUAAAUCCCCAACCCCCGUUCAUCGUGGCUCUAUUCACACUAGGCAGGACAUAGAAACAGCUUAGAUGCCCACCGGCUGAGGAAUGGACAACAAAAGUGUGGUACCUCUCAGCAAUGAAAUAUUAUUAGCUGUAAAGAACAAUGAAAUUUGGAGGUAACUGAGUAGAACCGGAAGCCAUUAACCAAGUGAGGUUUUGAUUCUUGGGUGUGGCUGAUUGCAUUGAUGUCCCCACAAUGAUGGACCAUAACCUGGAGUUGUGAGCCAAAUAAACUCUUAUUGAAUGUCUAA